Molecule: transfer-messenger RNA, 351 nt
Filed under: Megasphaera paucivorans
Lineage: Bacteria; Bacillati; Bacillota; Negativicutes; Veillonellales; Veillonellaceae
Rfam family: transfer-messenger RNA
About the family: Bacterial tmRNA, also known as 10Sa RNA or SsrA, is named for its dual tRNA and mRNA-like properties. Its role is to liberate the mRNA from a stalled ribosome. To accomplish this part of the tmRNA is used as a reading frame that ends in a translation stop signal.
Source: Rfam by way of RNAcentral
GGGGACGUAAAGGUUUCGACGGUGGCGGUUGUAUCAUAAAUAGCGAGCCGGGGUUUCAUCUGCCCGUAAAUCGGUGAAAACGUUAAAUUAAACGCUAAAGAAGAAAAUUUUGCCUUAGCUGCUUAAUGCAGCUAACGUCUCUUUCUGCUAAUCCUGCGUGCAGAUUGCAGACGUCAUCUAGCGGGAUACCUAUCAACUUUGCCUGAAAGCUGACAAGGGAAUCUUACAGGCUGGAGCAGUUUAGUUUGUCCUUGUACGAACGCUGCUUAAGAUAAUCAACAAGGUCUGCGCUCGGAGAAGUUUAUGGGGCAGCGUUAUCGGACAGGAGUUCGACUCUCCUCGUCUCCACCA